RNAcentral lists this ribosomal RNA (548 nucleotides) under uncultured Bifidobacterium sp. Its description in RNAcentral is "bacterial SSU rRNA". It matches the Rfam family "Bacterial small subunit ribosomal RNA", at positions 147 to 710 of the family's 1533-position model. Lineage: Bacteria; Bacillati; Actinomycetota; Actinomycetes; Bifidobacteriales; Bifidobacteriaceae. The record is from RNAcentral.
CUCCUGGAAACGGGUGGUAAUGCCGGAUGCUCCGCCCCCUCGCAUGGGGGGUCGGGAAGGCUUUUGCGGAAUGGGAUGGGGUCGCGUCCUAUCAGCUUGUUGGCGGGGCGACGGCCCACCAAGGCUUCGACGGGUAGCCGGCCUGAGAGGGCGACCGGCCACAUUGGGACUGAGAUACGGCCCAGACUCCUACGGGAGGCCGCAGUGGGGAAUAUUGCACAAUGGGGGGAACCCUGAUGCAGCGACGCCGCGUGCGGGAUGGAGGCCUUCGGGUCGUGAACCGCUUUUGAUUGGGAGCAAGCGUGAGUGAGUGUACCUUUCGAAUAAGCACCGGCUAACUACGUGCCAGCAGCCGCGGUAAUACGUAGGGUGCAAGCGUUGUCCGGAAUCAUUGGGCGUAAAGGGCUCGUAGGCGGUUCGUCGCGUCCGGUGUGAAAGCCCAUCGCUUAACGGUGGGUCUGCGCCGGGUACGGGCGGGCUUGAGUGCGGCAGGGGAGGCUGGAAUUCCCGGUGUAACGGUGGAAUGUGUAGAUAUCGGGAAGAACACC